RNAcentral lists this ribosomal RNA (119 nucleotides) under Pteropus alecto (black flying fox). Lineage: Eukaryota; Metazoa; Chordata; Mammalia; Chiroptera; Pteropodidae. The record is from RNAcentral.
GUCUAUGGCCAUGCUACCCUCAACAAGCCCGAUCCUGUCUGAUCUCGGAAGCUAUGCAGGGUCGGGCCUGGUUAGUACUUGGAUGGGAGACCACCUAGGAAGACCAGGUGCUGUAUGCG